CCUACGGGUUGCAGCAGUGGGGAAUAUUGGACAAUGGGCGAAAGCCUGAUCCAGCAAUGUCGCGUGAGUGAUGAAGGCCUUAGGGUUGUAAAGCUCUUUUACCCGGGAUGAUAAUGACAGUACCGGGAGAAUAAGCUCCGGCUAACUCCGUGCCAGCGGCCGCGGUAAUACGGAGGGAGCUAGCGUUGUUCGGAAUUACUGGGCGUAAAGCGCACGUAGGCGGCUUUGUAAGUUAGAGGUGAAAGCCUGGAGCUCAACUCCAGAAUUGCCUUUAAGACUGCAUCGCUUGAAUCCAAGAGAGGUGAGUGGAAUUCCGAGUGUAGAGGUGAAGUUCGUAGAUAUUCGGAAGAACACCAGUGGCGAAGGCGGCUCACUGGCUUGGUAUUGACGCUGAGGUGCGAAAGCGUGGGGAGCAAACAGGAUUAGAUACCCGAGUAGUC
Molecule: ribosomal RNA, 440 nt
Filed under: uncultured bacterium
Lineage: Bacteria
Description: bacterial SSU rRNA
Rfam family: Bacterial small subunit ribosomal RNA
Source: RNAcentral